Molecule: long non-coding RNA, 1165 nt
Organism: Drosophila obscura
Lineage: Eukaryota; Metazoa; Arthropoda; Insecta; Diptera; Drosophilidae
Exons: 3
Source: RefSeq, a predicted model, not a curated record
UCCAGAAACUUUUUAGAAAUGAACUGUGCUGUGUGUAGUUUACUGUGUGUGGGUUUUAAUUAAUAUUCUGAUCCGCCACUCUUGGGCGAGCCGAGCCGAGCCGGGCCGGGCCCUUCGAAGAUGAUUUGAACAUGGAGAAAAUGACCCAUAAUUGUCACCGUUUUGCUCAUGGCAGUCUCAUCGGUUUUUUCGGGCCGUUUUUUGUACGGCAUCUUCAUGCAGGCCAGCUGGCACUUAGGUGACUUUUGUUCCGAGUCAACAGCAUGGAAUGGUUGCAGUGUGAAAAAUUCAUUUAAGCAGUCGGUAAACUACGGCAUCAUAUAUCAUCCAGGGCGUCCAGGGAAGACGCCGCCACAGAGACCUCGAGCACACCAAAGGCAGGGAGCAGACCAAGGCAAAGGAAAAUUGGCAGAGAGCCCAUGCCCAUGCCCAUGCCCAUAACCAUAACCAUGGCUAUGGCCAGGCUAUAUCCUUGCGGCUAUGCUCAGCGCCUAGUUCAUAAAUCAUUAGGCUCGAUUGUCUGGCCAACACGCUUUCGCCCUCGCCCUCGCCCCCUCCUACGAGAGUCCGGCUCCUCGCCCUGUAGCCUGUGUGGAUCUCCAUCCAACCCCUACCACACACAAAAACGAAAGGAAGAACACACUUACAUACACACAUACAUAUGAGGGAGCACAGAAUCAGAAGUAAUAAGAAAGGAGUUUCAAAAAUCAGCCUGAAGACAGAUACUGCUCGUACCUGCAGAUGUACAGGUGGGCCCGGCCCCUUGAAAUUUAUCGCACGUUAUGCCUGAUGCUAAGAGUUGUAAUUUUUCAUGAACAACCCCCGGACACGGAGCCGCACGACACGCCAAGCAGCACCAAAAACUGAAGAGAAGGAGAUUGGGGGGCAUCUACCUGGAAGAUGGAGAUGAAGCGACAAUGCCUCCUCACAUGUCUAACAAACGAGCAAUGGUAUAAUGAUGCCAGUCAACACACACACGCACGCACCAGACAAGAGUUUGCAGAGCGAAUUGUGGAAAACGAGAUGGUAGAAAGAUCAUAGAAUGACUCGAAUAUCAAAUAUCGUUUACUCGAUUCAAAUAAAAAUUCACCUAAAAUUCGACUAAGAAGAUUCCCUAUUUAAUGGUAGCAUUACCGAAUAAAAGCGGAGGAUAACUAAACAAAAA